CCUACGGGAGGCAGCAGUAAGGAAUAUUGGUCAAUGGACGCAAGUCUGAACCAGCCAUGCCGCGUGAAGGAUGAAGGCCCUCUGGGUUGUAAACUUCUUUUAUAGGGGACGAAAAAAGGGAAUUCUUUCUCACUUGACGGUACCCUAGGAAUAAGCACCGGCUAACUCCGUGCCAGCAGCCGCGGUAAUACGGAGGGUGCAAGCGUUAUCCGGAUUCACUGGGUUUAAAGGGUGCGUAGGUGGGCAUUUAAGUCAGUGGUGAAAUCUCCGGGCUUAACCCGGAAACUGCCAUUGAUACUAUUUGUCUUGAAUAUUGUGGAGGUAAGCGGAAUAUGUCAUGUAGCGGUGAAAUGCUUAGAUAUGACAUAGAACACCCAUUGCGAAGGCAGCUUACUACGCAAAUAUUGACACUGAGGCACGAAAGCGUGGGGAUCAAACAGGAUUAGAUACCCUGGUAGUCCACGACCUAACCGAUAGAUACUACGACACUACAGACGACUACACAGUUGGUUGUCGUG
This 518-nucleotide ribosomal RNA is filed under the name uncultured bacterium. Its description in RNAcentral is "bacterial SSU rRNA". It matches the Rfam family "Bacterial small subunit ribosomal RNA", at positions 338 to 849 of the family's 1533-position model. The record is from RNAcentral.